Molecule: ribosomal RNA, 253 nt
Filed under: uncultured bacterium
Lineage: Bacteria
Description: partial 16S ribosomal RNA
Rfam family: Bacterial small subunit ribosomal RNA
Source: RNAcentral
UACAUGGGGUGCAAACGUUGCUCGGAAUUAUUGGGCGUAAAGCGCACGUAGGCGGUUUGUUAAGUCGGAUGUGAAAUCCCUCGGCUCAACUGAGGAAGUGCACCCGAAACUGGCAGGCUUGAGUACUAAAGAGGGUCGCGGAAUUCCCGGUGUAGAGGUAAAAUUCGUAGAUAUCUGGAGGAAUACCGGUGGCGAAGGCGGCAUCCUGGACCGGCAUUGACGCUGAGGAGCGAAAGCUAGGGGAGCGAAUGGG